RNAcentral lists this microRNA precursor (86 nucleotides) under Chlorocebus sabaeus (green monkey). RNAcentral's name for it is "miRNA (ENSCSAG00000023415.1)". Lineage: Eukaryota; Metazoa; Chordata; Mammalia; Primates; Cercopithecidae. The record is from RNAcentral.
CCUGCCUGUGGAAAGGAGCUAUCCACUGCAGGUCUCCUCUCCACUGAGAGCUGGACACUCAUUAGGACAACCUGUCUGCAGAAAGG